Long non-coding RNA from Monodelphis domestica (gray short-tailed opossum), 336 nucleotides. RefSeq lists it as uncharacterized. NCBI's taxonomy places the organism in Eukaryota, Metazoa, Chordata, Mammalia, Didelphimorphia, Didelphidae. The record is from RefSeq and is a predicted model, not a curated record.
UUCUGGGAGGACUAGCAUCUCUGCUAGGGCUCCCCAUCUCCUUUUGGUUUCCCCUGGGACAUUUGACUCUCACCUGUAGCUCCAAGAAGCCAUAGUCUGCUCAGGGAACACAAUCCAGUCAAACUGUCUCAGCAGACAGGCUAGACCAGGUUGAGGGUAACCAAUGGACCUCCAAACUUAAGGUUUAUGAAUGCUUCUCACACAGACUGGCUUCUGGCAUUUAGCAGUAAAUACAGUGAGCUCCUCAACAUUCUCAAGAAGAGAGGAGGAGUAUAUGGGUAAACUUAAAAUGGAGGCAUUGUGCUGUGGAUGGAAAAUACACUGAAAUGGAAAUAA